CCUUAGAGUUUGAUCCUGGCUCAAGACGAACGCUGGCGGCGCGCCUAACACAUGCAAGUCGAACGGAGAAUGCGGGACUGAAGCCUUCGGGCGGAUGGCCUGUAUUCUUAGUGGCGGACGGGUGAGUAACACGUGAGCAACCUGCCUUCAAGAGGGGGAUAGCACCUGGAAACGGGUGGUAAUACCGCAUAAGACCACAGUGUCGCAUGGCACAGAGGUCAAAGGAGCAAUCCGCUUGAAGAUGGGCUCGCGUCCGAUUAGAUAGUUGGUGAGGUAACGGCUCACCAAGUCGACGAUCGGUAGCCGGACUGAGAGGUUGAACGGCCACAUUGGGACUGAGACACGGCCCAGACUCCUACGGGAGGCAGCAGUGGGGGAUAUUGCACAAUGGGCGAAAGCCUGAUGCAGCGACGCCGCGUGAGGGAAGACGGCCUUCGGGUUGUAAACCUCUGUCAUUCGGGACGAAUAGAUGACGGUACCGAAGAAGGAAGCUCCGGCUAACUACGUGCCAGCAGCCGCGGUAAUACGUAGGGAGCGAGCGUUGUCCGGAAUUACUGGGUGUAAAGGGAGCGUAGGCGGGAAAGCAAGUUGGAAGUGAAAUGCAUGGGCUUAACCCAUGAGCUGCUUUCAAAACUGUUUUUCUUGAGUGAAGUAGAGGCAGGCGGAAUUCCUAGUGUAGCGGUGAAAUGCGUAGAUAUUAGGAGGAACACCAGUGGCGAAGGCGGCCUGCUGGGCUUUAACUGACGCCGAGGCUCGAAAGCGUGGGUAGCAAACAGGAUUAGAUACCCUGGUAGUCCACGCUGUA
Molecule: ribosomal RNA, 805 nt
Filed under: uncultured bacterium
Lineage: Bacteria
Description: bacterial SSU rRNA
Rfam family: Bacterial small subunit ribosomal RNA
Source: RNAcentral